AAAAAAAAAAAAAAAAAAAAAGAGCCCAGAAGCGCACUUCCUUUAAAUAUCAAACAGUUGUCUACCCUCAUCCUUCUUUUGCAGCCUCUCCUCUCCUCUGUCUCCUUCUCUACUGGAAAUUGAACGCUGGGAGGGGAGAAGAAGAAGACAAGAGGAAAAGAAGAGGAGGGGUUUAUAACUCAUCAGAUCAAUAUGCAGCAAAGCAACGGUCCUGAUCUGACCUCAGCACUGCCGACGCCGCCGACGCCUC
RNAcentral lists this unclassified non-coding RNA (250 nucleotides) under Hevea brasiliensis (rubber tree). Lineage: Eukaryota; Viridiplantae; Streptophyta; Magnoliopsida; Malpighiales; Euphorbiaceae. The record is from RNAcentral.